GAUGAACGCUGGCGGCAUGCCUAAUACAUGCAAGUCGUACGGGAAAGCUUGCUUUCCAGUGGCGAACGGGUGAGUAACACGUAGAUAACUUAUCCUUAAGCCGGGGAUAACAGUUGGAAACGACUGCUAAUACCGGAUAGGAUAUGCGACCGCAUGGAUGCAUAUUUAAAGGCGCGCAUGCGCCGCUUAGGGAGAGGUUUACGUCGCAUUAGCUAGUUGGUGGGGUAAAGGCCUACCAAGGCUAUGAUGCGUAGCUGUGCUGAGAGGCAGAACAGCCACACUGGGACUGAGACACGGCCCAGACUCCUACGGGAGGCAGCAGUAGGGAAUUUUCGGCAAUGGGGGAAACCCUGACCGAGCAAUGCCGCGUGAACGAAGAAGGUCUUCGGAUCGUAAAGUUCUGUUAUCGGGAAAGAAUGGCAUGGUGAGGAAAUGCGCCAUGUAUGACGGUACCCGAUGAGAAAGCCCCGGCUAACUAUGUGCCAGCAGCCGCGGUAACACAUAGGGGGCGAGCGUUAUCCGGAAUUACUGGGCGUAAAGCGUGUGUAGGCGGUCUAUUAAGUCUGGCGUGAAAUCCCACGGCUUAACUGUGGAGGGUCGUUGGAAACUGAUAGACUUGAGUACGGCAGAGGUAAGUGGAAUUCCAAGUGGAGCGGUGGAAUGCGUAGAUAUUUGGAGGAACACCAGUGGCGAAGGCGGCUUACUGGGCCGGAACUGACGCUGAGACACGAAAGCGUGGGGAGCAAACAGG
RNAcentral lists this ribosomal RNA (751 nucleotides) under uncultured bacterium. RNAcentral describes it as "bacterial SSU rRNA". It matches the Rfam family "Bacterial small subunit ribosomal RNA", at positions 28 to 776 of the family's 1533-position model. The record is from RNAcentral.